Molecule: long non-coding RNA, 248 nt
Organism: Alnus glutinosa
Lineage: Eukaryota; Viridiplantae; Streptophyta; Magnoliopsida; Fagales; Betulaceae
Exons: 3
Source: RefSeq, a predicted model, not a curated record
AGAAACAAAAGGGGAAGAUUUUCUCUUAAGGUUUUUCAUAGAAAAAUCAUAAUCUACGAAGAUCCAACGGUCCGAUUUUCGAUCCGUCUUCGGAAACAUGAUCAUUGCACUCGAAUAUAUGUUUUCACCGAUCAUUUUCAGUGAUACAUUGCAAGGUGAUGUCUAGGAGACCUAGUGCUUAAUAUCCGUUCAGCCAGAGAUUUGGGGCUAAAACGGUUGUUGGAUUUGUUGGCGGAGGAGCAACCGGA